AUCCAUCUGAAACGUUUCAAAUAGGACGAAACGUGUGUCCUGGAU
Molecule: non-coding RNA, 45 nt
Organism: Schistosoma curassoni
Lineage: Eukaryota; Metazoa; Platyhelminthes; Trematoda; Strigeidida; Schistosomatidae
Source: Rfam